AUUGAACGCUGGCGGCAGGCCUAACACAUGCAAGUCGAGCGGAUGAAGGGAGCUUGCUCCUGGAUUCAGCGGCGGACGGGUGAGUAAUGCCUAGGAAUCUGCCUGGUAGUGGGGGAUAACGUCCGGAAACGGGCGCUAAUACCGCAUACGUCCUGAGGGAGAAAGUGGGGGAUCUUCGGACCUCACGCUAUCAGAUGAGCCUAGGUCGGAUUAGCUAGUUGGUGGGGUAAAGGCCUACCAAGGCGACGAUCCGUAACUGGUCUGCGAGGAUGAUCAGUCACACUGGAACUGAGACACGGUCCAGACUCCUAAGGGAGGCAGCAGUGGGGAAUAUUGGACAAUGGGCGAAAGCCUGAUCCAGCCAUGCCGCGUGUGUGAAGAAGGUCUUCGGAUUGUAAAGCACUUUAAGUUGGGAGGAAGGGCAGUAAGUUAAUACCUUGCUGUUUUGACGUUACCAACAGAAUAAGCACCGGCUAACUUCGUG
This 484-nucleotide ribosomal RNA is filed under the name uncultured bacterium. Its description in RNAcentral is "partial 16S ribosomal RNA". It matches the Rfam family "Bacterial small subunit ribosomal RNA", at positions 30 to 507 of the family's 1533-position model. The record is from RNAcentral.